RNAcentral lists this ribosomal RNA (614 nucleotides) under uncultured fungus. RNAcentral's name for it is "LSU rRNA". It matches the Rfam family "Eukaryotic large subunit ribosomal RNA", at positions 23 to 664 of the family's 3401-position model. The record is from RNAcentral. Lineage: Eukaryota; Fungi.
ACCCGCUGAACUUAAGCAUAUCAAUAAGCGGAGGAAAAGAAACCAACAGGGAUUGCCCUAGUAACGGCGAGUGAAGCGGCAACAGCUCAAAUUUGAAAUCUGGCGCAAGCCCGAGUUGUAAUUUGUAGAGGAUGCUUCUGGGCAGCGGCCGGUCUAAGUUCCUUGGAACAGGACGUCAUAGAGGGUGAGAAUCCCGUAUGCGACCGGUUGGCACCCGUCACGUAGCUCCUUCGACGAGUCGAGUUGUUUGGGAAUGCAGCUCUAAAUGGGUGGUAAAUUCCAUCUAAAGCUAAAUACCGGCCAGAGACCGAUAGCGCACAAGUAGAGUGAUCGAAAGAUGAAAAGCACUUUGGAAAGAGAGUUAAAAAGCACGUGAAAUUGUUGAAAGGGAAGCGCAUGCAACCAGACUUGUCCGCGGUGUUCCGCCGGUCUUCUGACCGGUCUACUCGCCGUGGGCAGGCCAGCAUCGUUUGGGUGCGCCGGAUAAAGGCGUCGGGAAUGUGGCCCUUCGGGGUGUUAUAGCCCGUCGCACAAUACGGCGCCGCCCGAGCGAGGUCCGCGCUUCGGCUAGGAUGCUGGCGUAAUGGUUGUAUGCGGCCCGUCUUGAAACACGG